UUCACUUCAGCAAGACAUACUAAAAUUGGAACAAUACACAGAAAACAACAUGGCCCCUGUGCACAAGUGACAUGCAAAUUUGUGCGAUAUUCCAUUUUUUC
This 101-nucleotide small nuclear RNA is filed under the name Moschus moschiferus (Siberian musk deer). Lineage: Eukaryota; Metazoa; Chordata; Mammalia; Artiodactyla; Moschidae. The record is from RNAcentral.